This 22-nucleotide non-coding RNA is filed under the name Ascaris suum (pig roundworm). RNAcentral also lists the same sequence under 78 other names. The record is from RNAcentral. Lineage: Eukaryota; Metazoa; Nematoda; Chromadorea; Rhabditida; Ascarididae.
UAAGGCACGCGGUGAAUGCCAA